RNAcentral lists this ribosomal RNA (385 nucleotides) under uncultured fungus. RNAcentral describes it as "partial small subunit ribosomal RNA". It matches the Rfam family "Eukaryotic small subunit ribosomal RNA", at positions 30 to 432 of the family's 1831-position model. Lineage: Eukaryota; Fungi. The record is from RNAcentral.
GCUUGUCUCAAAGAUUAAGCCAUGCAUGUCUAAGUGUAAAUACGUCUACACUGUGAAACUGCGAAUGGCUCAUUAAAUCAGUUAUAAUUUAUUUGAUAGUGAAAUUGUACAUGGAUAACCGUGGCAAUUCUAGGGCUAAUACAUGCGUCAAUGGUCGGUCGACCAGUAUUUAUUAGAUACAAAGCCAGCCGUCAGGAUCAGGUGAAUCAUGAUAACCAAACGAAUCGCAAGCGCAAGCGGCGAUGGUUCAUUCAAAUUUCUGCCCUAUCAACUUUCGAUGGUACGGUAUUGGCCUACCAUGGUUACCACGGGUAACGGGGAAUUAGGGUUCGGUUCCGGAGAGGGGGCCUGAGAAAUGGCCACCACAUCCAAGGAAGGCAGCAGG